Molecule: ribosomal RNA, 468 nt
Filed under: uncultured bacterium
Lineage: Bacteria
Description: partial 16S ribosomal RNA
Rfam family: Bacterial small subunit ribosomal RNA
Source: RNAcentral
GACGAACGCUGGCGGCGUGCUUAACACAUGCAAGUCGAACGGAAAGGCCCUGCUUUUGUGGGGUGCUCGAGUGGCGAACGGGUGAGUAACACGUGAGUAACCUGCCCUUGACUUUGGGAUAACUUCAGGAAACUGGGGCUAAUACCGGAUAGGAGCUCCUGCUGCAUGGUGGGGGUUGGAAAGUUUCGGCGGUUGGGGAUGGACUCGCGGCUUAUCAGCUUGUUGGUGGGGUAGUGGCUUACCAAGGCUUUGACGGGUAGCCGGCCUGAGAGGGUUGCCGGCCACAUUGGGACUGAGAUACGGCCCAGAAUCCUACGGGAGGCAGCAGUGGGGAAUAUUGCACAAUGGGCGGAAGCCUGAUGCAGCAACGCCGCGUGCGGGAUGACGGCCUUCGGGUUGUAAACCGCUUUCGCCUGUGACGAAGCGUGAGUGACGGUAAUGGGUAAAGAAGCACCGGCUAACUACGUG